CGCGGCCUAUCAGCUUGUUGGUGGGGUAAUGGCCUACCAAGGCUUCGACGGGUAGCCGGCCUGAGAGGGUGACCGGCCACACUGGGACUGAGACACGGCCCAGACCCCUACGGGAGGCAGCAGUGGGGAAUAUUGGACAAUGGGCGGAAGCCUGAUCCAGCAACGCCGCGUGAGGGAUGACGGCCUUCGGGUUGUAAACCUCUUUCACCUCCGACGAAGCGUGAGUGACGGUAGGGGGAGAAGAAGCACCGGCCAACUACGUGCCAGCAGCCGCGGUAAUACGUAGGGUGCGAGCGUUGUCCGGAAUUAUUGGGCGUAAAGGGCUCGUAGGCGGUUUGUCGCGUCGGGAGUGAAAACACCGGGCUUAACUCGGUGCUUGCUUCCGAUACGGGCAGACUAGAGGUAUUCAGGGGAGAACGGAAUUCCUGGUGUAGCGGUGAAAUGCGCAGAUAUCAGGAGGAACACCGGUGGCGAAGGCGGUUCUCUGGGAAUUACCUGACGCUGAGGAGCGAAAGUGUGGGGAGCGAACAGGAUUAGAUACCCUGGUAGUCCACACCGUAAACGUUGGGCGCUAGGUGUGGGACCCGUCCACGGGUUCCGUGCCGCAGCUAACGCAUUAAGCGCCCCGCCUGGGGAGUACGGA
Molecule: ribosomal RNA, 643 nt
Filed under: uncultured Actinomycetes bacterium
Lineage: Bacteria; Bacillati; Actinomycetota; Actinomycetes
Description: bacterial SSU rRNA
Rfam family: Bacterial small subunit ribosomal RNA
Source: RNAcentral